UAAUACGGAGGGUGCAAGCGUUAUCCGGAAUCACUGGGUUUAAAGGGUGCGUAGGCGGAUAUUUAAGUCAGUGGUGAAAUCUUGUCGCUUAACGAUAAAAUUGCCAUUGAUACUGAAUGUCUUGAAUUGGGUUGAGGUUAGCGGAAUGUGACAUGUAGCGGUGAAAUGCAUAGAUAUGUCAUGGAACACCAAUUGCGAAGGCAGCUAGCUGGGCCUUGAUUGACGCUGAGGCACGAAAGCGUGGGUAGCGAACAGG
This 256-nucleotide ribosomal RNA is filed under the name uncultured bacterium. RNAcentral's name for it is "partial 16S ribosomal RNA". It matches the Rfam family "Bacterial small subunit ribosomal RNA", at positions 521 to 776 of the family's 1533-position model. The record is from RNAcentral.